RNAcentral lists this non-coding RNA (221 nucleotides) under Amorphochlora amoebiformis. Lineage: Eukaryota; Cercozoa; Chlorarachniophyceae. The record is from RNAcentral.
AAACUGAAAAAACGAAUUAAAAAAAAAAAAAAAGAAAAAAUAAAAAAAAUGUCGGCCGACGAAAUCCAAAUCUCAGAUUUGGAGAAUUCUUCGAGAAUUCUUUCCUACCCAGAACGCCCUCUAGAAGUCCACUGGACUUCGUUUUUCUACUGCCCUUUGGCUCAUCCUAGUGUAAUGUUCAAUAGGAACAACCUUCCUAAAGGCCCACUGUACUCAGAGAA